CCUACGGGAGGCAGCAGUGGGGAAUAUUGCACAAUGGGGGAAACCCUGAUGCAGCAACGCCGCGUGAGUGAAGAAGGUCUUCGGAUUGUUAAGCUCUGUUUGUAGGGAAGUGGAAGGAGGGUACCUGCACUGGAAGCCACGGCUAACUACGUGCCAGCAGCCGCGGUAAUACGUAGGGGGCAAGCGUUGUUAGGAAUAACUGGGCGUAAAGGAUGCGUAGGCGGUUAAACAAGUUAUAUGUUAAAUAUAUAGGCUUAACCUGUAGAAAGCAUAUGAAACUGGUUAACUAGAGUGCAGGAGAGGUAAGUGGAAUUCCUGGUGUAGCGGUGAAAUGCGUAGAGAUUAGGAAGAACACCAGUGGCGAAGGCGACUUACUGAACUGUAACUGACGCUGAGGCAUGAGAGCAUGGGGAGCAAACAGGAUUAGAUACCCGAGUAGUC
This 441-nucleotide ribosomal RNA is filed under the name uncultured bacterium. Its description in RNAcentral is "partial 16S ribosomal RNA". It matches the Rfam family "Bacterial small subunit ribosomal RNA", at positions 338 to 795 of the family's 1533-position model. The record is from RNAcentral.